AUACGUAGGUGGCAAGCGUUGUCCGGAUUUAUUGGGCGUAAAGCGCGCGCAGGCGGUCUUUUAAGUCUGAUGUGAAAUCUUACAGCUUAACUGUAAGCGGUCAUUGGAAACUGGGAGACUUGAGUGCAGAAGAGGAGAGUGGAAUUCCAUGUGUAGCGGUGAAAUGCGUAGAGAUAUGGAGGAACACCAGUGGCGAAGGCGACUCUCUGGUCCGCAACUGACGCUGAGGCGCGAAAGCGUGGGGAUCAAACAGGAUUAGAUACCCUGGUAGUCCACGCCGUAAACGAUGAGUGCUAGGUGUUAGGGGUUUCGAGACCCUUAGUGCCGCAGUUAACACAUUAAGCACUCCGCCUGGGGAGUACGGCCGCAAGGCUGAA
Molecule: ribosomal RNA, 377 nt
Filed under: uncultured bacterium
Lineage: Bacteria
Description: bacterial SSU rRNA
Rfam family: Bacterial small subunit ribosomal RNA
Source: RNAcentral